Molecule: non-coding RNA, 831 nt
Organism: Erythranthe guttata (spotted monkey flower)
Lineage: Eukaryota; Viridiplantae; Streptophyta; Magnoliopsida; Lamiales; Phrymaceae
Source: RefSeq, a predicted model, not a curated record
AUAUUUUCCCUCUAAUAAUAAAUGAGUAAUAAUAAUAGAAAAAACAUUUGGCGCGUCGAUUCAACCCCCGCCGCGAACGGAAAAGGGGAAAUUGGAUCCCUAAAAGCUCAAGUCGCGAGUACCGGAUAUUUUGCUUGACGUUGUUCUUGUUGCUCUAUGAUUUGAUGUGUAAGAAAAUUCAUUCGGGAAGCUGACCAUAUUCAGUUGACUGAUUUUGUCUAUAUUUUGUCUGCCUUCUUUCUGCUGUUUCUAUUAUCGUGUGUAUUGAACUCUGUAAUUAGUGACAACGAGUUAUUAGUGUGCUACGCUUGUCCGGUAAAGUUGAGAGUUGAGGCUCAAUAUCAUAGCAGAAGGGACGAGGUUAAUGUUUUACAGCUGAGCAAUUUAAACUUAGUAUUUAUAACUAUUACUAUCUACAUAAUUGUAUUGUUUAAUAGUUGUUACUCGUAACACCUUACGACUCUGAAGAUGAAGAAAUCGAGGCGGAAGUAUCAACAGCUAUACUGAGAAACUGAUGGUCCGAGUUUGGAAUUCGACAAUUCGUUAAUCCUCCCCUAGGUAAUUUUGUAAGACUUGAUCUUUAGCAUUAGUUGACAAUUCGAUUAAAAUAAUUUUCACCUUGAUAGCAAAUCUUGAAAGCCUCUGCACUCAUCGCCCCUAACUUAGUAAAUGAAGAGAAAAGGAUUAGGAUUUUUAUUUUUUCUUGUUACAACAGUUAAGUUCAUUGAGUUUGUGCAGAUUAAUCGAUUACGAUGUUUUAUGUGUGCAUUUUACGACACUCUUAAGUUGUUUGUCAAUUUUCUGAGAUUAUUAUUAUUAUUAUUAUUUUGA